CGGUGAACACGGAGCUUGCUCUGUGGGAUCAGUGGCGAACGGGUGAGUAACACGUGAGCAACCUGCCCCUGACUCUGGGAUAAGCGCUGGAAACGGCGUCUAAUACUGGAUAUGUGACGUGACCGCAUGGUCUGUGUCUGGAAAGAUUUUUCGGUUGGGGAUGGGCUCGCGGCCUAUCAGCUUGUUGGUGAGGUAAUGGCUCACCAAGGCGUCGACGGGUAGCCGGCCUGAGAGGGUGACCGGCCACACUGGGACUGAGACACGGCCCAGACUCCUACGGGAGGCAGCAGUGGGGAAUAUUGCACAAUGGGCGCAAGCCUGAUGCAGCAACGCCGCGUGAGGGAUGACGGCCUUCGGGUUGUAAACCUCUUUUAGCAGGGAAGAAGCGAAAGUGACGGUACCUGCAGAAAAAGCGCCGGCUAACUACGUGCCAGCAGCCGCGGUAAUACGUAGGGCGCAAGCGUUAUCCGGAAUUAUUGGGCGUAAAGAGCUCGUAGGCGGUUUGUCGCGUCUGCUGUGAAAUCCCGAGGCUCAACCUCGGGCCUGCAGUGGGUACGGGCAGACUAGAGUGCGGUAGGGGAGAUUGGAAUUCCUGGUGUAGCGGUGGAA
Molecule: ribosomal RNA, 609 nt
Filed under: Microbacterium sp.
Lineage: Bacteria; Bacillati; Actinomycetota; Actinomycetes; Micrococcales; Microbacteriaceae
Description: bacterial SSU rRNA
Rfam family: Bacterial small subunit ribosomal RNA
Source: RNAcentral